CCUACGGGUGGCAGCAGUGGGGAAUAUUGCACAAUGGGGGAAACCCUGAUGCAGCGACGCCGCGUGAGUGAAGAAGUAAUUCGUUAUGUAAAGCCCUAUCAGCAGGGAAGAAAAUGACGGUACCUGAGUCAGAAGCCCCGGCUAACUACGUGCCAGGAGCCGCGGUAAUACGUCGGGGGCCAGCGUUAUCCGGAUUUACUGGGUGUAAAGGGAGCGUAGACGGGAGUGCAAGUCUGGAGGGAAAGGCGGGGGCCCAACCCCCGGACUGCUCUGGAAACUGUACGGCUGGAGUGCAGGAGAGGUAAGCGGAAUGCCUAGUGUAGCGGUGAAAUGCGUAGAUAUUAGGCGGAACACCAGUGGCGAAGGCGGCUUACUGGACUGUAACUGACGUUGAGGCUCGAAAGCGUGGGGAGCAAACAGGAUUAGAUACCCCGGUAGUC
RNAcentral lists this ribosomal RNA (440 nucleotides) under uncultured bacterium. RNAcentral describes it as "partial 16S ribosomal RNA". It matches the Rfam family "Bacterial small subunit ribosomal RNA", at positions 338 to 795 of the family's 1533-position model. The record is from RNAcentral.